AAAAAAUGACUCUCGGCAACGGAUAUCUCGGCUCUCGCAUCGAUGAAGAACGUAGCGAAAUGCGAUACUUGGUGUGAAUUGCAGAAUCCCGUGAACCAUCGAGUCUUUGAACGCAAGUUGCGCCCGAAGCCGUCAGGCCGAGGGCACGUCUGCCUGGGCGUCACG
This 165-nucleotide ribosomal RNA is filed under the name Convolvulus lanuginosus. RNAcentral describes it as "5.8S ribosomal RNA". It matches the Rfam family "5.8S ribosomal RNA". Rfam says of the family: 5.8S ribosomal RNA (5.8S rRNA) is a component of the large subunit of the eukaryotic ribosome. Lineage: Eukaryota; Viridiplantae; Streptophyta; Magnoliopsida; Solanales; Convolvulaceae. The record is from RNAcentral.